GGCUACGAGGACGAACGCUGGCGGCGUGCUUAACACAUGCAAGUCGAACGGAGAUUAUUAAUGAAGCUUGCGAUUUAAUAAUCUUAGUGGCGGACGGGUGAGUAACGCGUGGGCAACCUACCCAUAAGAGGGGGAUAACAGUUGGAAACGACUGCUAAUACCGCAUAAGCUAUUAAGGUCGCAUGACCUUAAUAGUAAAGGUGGCGAAAGCUAUCACUUAUGGAUGGGCCCGCGUCUGAUUAGCUAGUUGGUGGGGUAGUGGCCUACCAAGGCGACGAUCAGUAGCCGGCCUGAGAGGGUGGACGGCCACACUGGGACUGAGACACGGCCCAGACUCCUACGGGAGGCAGCAGUGGGGAAUAUUGCGCAAUGGGGGAAACCCUGACGCAGCGACGCCGCGUGAAGCGAAGAAGGCCUUAGGGUCGUAAAGCUCUGUUGUAAGGGACGAAUGUUUAUCUGGCGAACAGUCAGAUUAAGUGACGGUACCUUACCAGCAAGCCCCGGCUAACUACGUGCCAGCCGCUGC
RNAcentral lists this ribosomal RNA (526 nucleotides) under uncultured bacterium. RNAcentral describes it as "bacterial SSU rRNA". It matches the Rfam family "Bacterial small subunit ribosomal RNA", at positions 26 to 518 of the family's 1533-position model. The record is from RNAcentral.